RNAcentral lists this ribosomal RNA (780 nucleotides) under uncultured bacterium. RNAcentral describes it as "bacterial SSU rRNA". It matches the Rfam family "Bacterial small subunit ribosomal RNA", at positions 8 to 796 of the family's 1533-position model. The record is from RNAcentral.
AGAGUUUGAUCAUGGCUCAGAUUGAACGCUGGCGGUAUGCCUAACACAUGCAAGUCGAACGAGGUAGCAAUACCUAGUGGCGGACGGGUGAGGAAUACGUAGGGAUCUGCCCUUAAGUGGGGGAUAACCCGGGGAAACCCGGAUUAAUACCGCAUGAUCUCGCAAGAGCAAAGAGGGGGACCGCAAGGCCUCUCGCUUUUGGAGGAACCUACGUCGGAUUAGCUAGUUGGUGAGGUAAUGGCUCACCAAGGCGACGAUCCGUAACUGGUCUGAGAGGAUGAUCAGUCACACCGGAACUGAGACACGGUCCGGACUCCUACGGGAGGCAGCAGUGGGGAAUAUUGAACAAUGGGCGAAAGCCUGAUCCAGCAAUACCGCGUGUGUGAAGAAGGCCUUCGGGUUGUAAAGCACUUUAAGUUGGGAAGAAAAAGCUUCACCUAAUACGUGAAGCCUUGACGGUACCGACAGAAUAAGCACCGGCUAACUCUGUGCCAGCAGCCGCGGUAAUACAGAGGGUGCUAGCGUUAAUCGGAUUUACUGGGCGUAAAGCGUGCGUAGGUGGUUUGAUAAGUCGAUUGUGAAAGCCCCGGGCUUAACCUGGGAAUUGCGGUCGAUACUGUCAGACUCGAAAACGGUAGAGGGAGGUGGAACUCCAGGUGUAGCGGUGAAAUGCGUAGAUAUCUGGAAGAACACCGAUGGCGAAGGCAGCCUCCUGGGCCUGUUUUGACACUGAGGCACGAAAGCGUGGGUAGCAAACAGGAUUAGAUACCCUGGUAGUCC